CUUUUAUUUUCAUUGCACGCUUUGAAUAUGUGGGAUGAACGCUUGGCAAAGAUAAAACAAUUCCGUUACAAAAAAAGAAAAAAGAAAAAACAAGAUAGAAACAUGGACCACAAUCGAAACCCCUUCUUUAUGGCAAUAAUUAAGUGCAAUUUGCAAAUGCUUCCUUACCACCCUUUUCUCAUCGUGGCUUCUAUUGUCUACAACAGUACACAGAUGUCGACUUCCAUUGCUUAUUGGUUAAAAAAAAGUGUAAACAACUUUGCGCACAGCCACACAUUACAUUGUGUCGAAUCUAUAUAUGGUGCUGAGUUGAACGGUGAUGGUCCUACAUCCUUUUCCUUUAAUUUCUUUAAUUGA
This is a non-coding RNA of Vicia faba (fava bean), 357 nucleotides long. NCBI's taxonomy places the organism in Eukaryota, Viridiplantae, Streptophyta, Magnoliopsida, Fabales, Fabaceae. The record is from the annotation of a GenBank genome assembly.